GACGAACGCUGGCGGCGUGCUUAACACAUGCAAGUCGAACGGAAAGGCUCCAGCUUGCUGGAGUACUCGAGUGGCGAACGGGUGAGUAACACGUGGGUAAUCUGCCCCGCACUCUGGGAUAAGCCUGGGAAACUGGGUCUAAUACGGGAUAUGACCUUUCUCCCUGUGGGGUUUGGUGGAAAGUUUUUCGGUGUCGGAUGAGCCCGCGGCCUAUCGGCUUGUUGGUGGGGUGAUGGCCUACCAAGGCGACGACGGGUAGCCGGCCUGAGAGGGUGAUCGGCCACAUUGGGACUGCGAUACGGCCCAGUCUCCUACGGGCGGCAGCAGUGGGGAAUAUUGCACAAUGGGCGCAAGCCUGAUGCGGCGACGCCGCGUGAGGGAUGACGGCCUUCGGGUUGUAAACCUCUUUCAGCAGGGACGAAGCGUAAGUGACGGUACCUGCAGAAGAAGCACCGGCUAACUAUGUG
This 467-nucleotide ribosomal RNA is filed under the name uncultured bacterium. RNAcentral describes it as "partial 16S ribosomal RNA". It matches the Rfam family "Bacterial small subunit ribosomal RNA", at positions 28 to 507 of the family's 1533-position model. The record is from RNAcentral.